Molecule: transfer RNA, 74 nt
Filed under: Succinivibrionaceae bacterium
Lineage: Bacteria; Pseudomonadati; Pseudomonadota; Gammaproteobacteria; Aeromonadales; Succinivibrionaceae
Description: tRNA-Gln
Rfam family: tRNA
About the family: Transfer RNA (tRNA) molecules are approximately 80 nucleotides in length. Their secondary structure includes four short double-helical elements and three loops (D, anti-codon, and T loops).
Source: RNAcentral
GGAACAGUAGCCAAGCGGUAAGGCACUGGACUUUGACUCCAGCAUCGUAGGUUCGAUCCCUGCCUCUUCUGCCA